Molecule: ribosomal RNA, 119 nt
Filed under: Salmo salar (Atlantic salmon)
Lineage: Eukaryota; Metazoa; Chordata; Actinopteri; Salmoniformes; Salmonidae
Source: RNAcentral
GCUUACGGCCAUACCAGCCUGGGUACGCCCGAUCUCGUCUGAUCUCGGAAGCUAAGCAGGGUCGGGCCUGGUUAGUACUUGGAUGGGAGACCGCCUGGGAAUACCAGGUGCUAUAAGCA